UAGGCAGUAUUUACUGAUACACUGGGUAC
RNAcentral lists this non-coding RNA (29 nucleotides) under Mus musculus (house mouse). The record is from RNAcentral. Lineage: Eukaryota; Metazoa; Chordata; Mammalia; Rodentia; Muridae.